RNAcentral lists this ribosomal RNA (450 nucleotides) under uncultured bacterium. RNAcentral describes it as "partial 16S ribosomal RNA". It matches the Rfam family "Bacterial small subunit ribosomal RNA", at positions 354 to 796 of the family's 1533-position model. The record is from RNAcentral.
GUGGGGAAUCUUCCGCAAUGGACGAAAGUCUGACGGAGCAACGCCGCGUGAGUGAUGAAGGUCUUCGGAUUGUAAAGCUCUGUUAAUCGGGACGAAAGAGCCUAGUGUGAAUAAUGCUAGGAAGUGACGGUACCGGAAUAGAAAGCCACGGCUAACUACGUGCCAGCAGCCGCGGUAAUACGUAGGUGGCAAGCGUUGUCCGGAAUUAUUGGGCGUAAAGCGCGCGUAGGCGGAUCUGCCAGUCUGUCUUAAAAGUUCGGGGCUUAACCCCGUGAUGGGAUGGAAACUACAGAUCUAGAGUAUCGGAGAGGAAAGUGGAAUUCCUAGUGUAGCGGUGAAAUGCGUAGAUAUUAGGAAGAACACCAGUGGCGAAGGCGACUUUCUGGACGAAAACUGACGCUGAGGCGCGAAAGCCAGGGGAGCGAACGGGAUUAGAUACCCCGGUAGUCC